CAUCCACCCUGCUUUCUGCACAAGCCACAAACAUCCUCGUGAAAGUUAAAAGGAAAAAGAAAAACAUGCUCUUCCAAGGCCCUUAGAAGUAUUAUGGCCCUGGCUACGAUCUCCACAGGGCCUCCUGGGCAGACAUACCACUCAUGGAGAAGAGAGAUCGCUGUCAUUGACCCUGAAGAUAAGCAUCUUCAUGGCGAGCACCCUGGAGCCUUUCGCAAUUGACCACACUUUUAUAAUCAAGGCAUGUGAGGAUCAGAUGUGGUUGUGUUUAUGAGCACAGGUCCAUCUUCAGUGAAUGCCUUUUUAAUUUGUGACUGUUUCUUUUUUU
Molecule: long non-coding RNA, 328 nt
Filed under: Mus spicilegus (steppe mouse)
Lineage: Eukaryota; Metazoa; Chordata; Mammalia; Rodentia; Muridae
Description: lncRNA (ENSMSIG00000005152.1)
Source: RNAcentral